RNAcentral lists this ribosomal RNA (581 nucleotides) under uncultured Enterobacter sp. RNAcentral's name for it is "bacterial SSU rRNA". It matches the Rfam family "Bacterial small subunit ribosomal RNA", at positions 69 to 643 of the family's 1533-position model. The record is from RNAcentral. Lineage: Bacteria; Pseudomonadati; Pseudomonadota; Gammaproteobacteria; Enterobacterales; Enterobacteriaceae.
CAGGAAGCAGCUUGCUGCUUUGCUGACGAGUGGCGGACGGGUGAGUAAUGUCUGGGAAACUGCCUGAUGGAGGGGGAUAACUACUGGAAACGGUAGCUAAUACCGCAUAAUGUCGCAAGACCAAAGAGGGGGACCUUCGGGCCUCUUGCCAUCGGAUGUGCCCAGAUGGGAUUAGCUAGUAGGUGGGGUAACGGCUCACCUAGGCGACGAUCCCUAGCUGGUCUGAGAGGAUGACCAGCCACACUGGAACUGAGACACGGUCCAGACUCCUACGGGAGGCAGCAGUGGGGAAUAUUGCACAAUGGGCGCAAGCCUGAUGCAGCCAUGCCGCGUGUAUGAAGAAGGCCUUCGGGUUGUAAAGUACUUUCAGCGGGGAGGAAGGCGACAGGGUUAAUAACCCUGUCGAUUGACGUUACCCGCAGAAGAAGCACCGGCUAACUCCGUGCCAGCAGCCGCGGUAAUACGGAGGGUGCAAGCGUUAAUCGGAAUUACUGGGCGUAAAGCGCACGCAGGCGGUCUGUCAAGUCGGAUGUGAAAUCCCCGGGCUCAACCUGGGAACUGCAUUCGAAACUGGCAGGCUA